This 602-nucleotide long non-coding RNA is filed under the name Pan paniscus (pygmy chimpanzee). RNAcentral's name for it is "lncRNA (ENSPPAG00000045432.1)". The record is from RNAcentral. Lineage: Eukaryota; Metazoa; Chordata; Mammalia; Primates; Hominidae.
GAAACAACGACCACGGAGCUGCUCAAUUUGUCUGGUACAUGGACCCAUGGCUCCUGAGAGGUGGGAAGGGGCUGCCUGCAUCCGUGGGCCCUGAAUCACCACAUAGAGGAAGAUGCCUCUGCUUCUCGAUGUUGGAGGUCAUUUCUCAGAUGGGAAACUGGAGCUGGCCCAGCCACUCACUCUUUCCUAGUUUGUUCUGUCUCUGAUUGACGAGCAAAUGGGAUGAAGCAUGAGGUUGAGGGCGAGAGGGCUGUGUUAUCUCAAGAAGGCCUCUCCGAGGAGCUGAUAUUUGAGCUGAGAUAGUCAUAAACUCUCAGGAUGAGCAGGUGGGUCUUAGAGAUAGAUCCUCUGGUCCAGGCAUCGCCGGGAAUCUUUUAGAGGGCAGGAGGUGUUCCAGUGUAAAUACAAAACAGAAAAAGCAUGACAUGAAAGAAUCUGGUGCUCAGCCUCCAAGCUGAGGGGUGGUCAGGUGUGGCAGGACUGUGGCUACCUGGAGCAUGCAUGCCCUCCUGCAGUGGGCAAAAGCUGCCUCACUCAGCCAACUGCCCAGGCCAGAGUGCAAGCCCUAAGAGGCCAGCCUCCUGAUGCUGCCAAGAGACAGA